This 443-nucleotide ribosomal RNA is filed under the name uncultured bacterium. RNAcentral describes it as "partial 16S ribosomal RNA". It matches the Rfam family "Bacterial small subunit ribosomal RNA", at positions 338 to 795 of the family's 1533-position model. The record is from RNAcentral.
CCUACGGUAGGCAGCCGUGGGGAAUAUUGGGCAAUGGGCGCAAGCCUGACCCAGCAACGCCGCGUGAAGGAAGAAGGCUUUCGGGUUGUAAACUUCUUUUCUGAGGGACGAAGAAAGUGACGGUACCUCAGGAAUAAGCCACGGCUAACUACGUGCCAGCAGCCGCGGUAAUACGUAGGUGGCAAGCGUUAUCCGGAUUUAUUGGGUGUAAACGGCGUGUAGGCGGGAAAGCAAGUCAGAUGUGAAAACUCAGGGCUCAACCCUGAGCCUGCAGUUGAAACUGUUUUUCUUGAGUGCUGGUGAGGCAAUCGGAAUUCCGGGUGUAGCGGUGAAAUGCGUAGAUAUACGGAGGAACACCAGUGGCGAAGGCGGAUUGCUGGACAGUAACUGACGCUGAGGCGCGAAAGCGUGGGGAGCAAACAGGAUUAGAUACCCCAGUAGUC